GGCCCCCAGCUAGACGACUGGGUUGAUAGGCCGGAAAUGUAAGCCCGGUAACGGGUUCAGUUGACCGGUACUAAUAGGCCGAGGACUUGACUAC
Molecule: ribosomal RNA, 94 nt
Filed under: Micromonospora halophytica
Lineage: Bacteria; Bacillati; Actinomycetota; Actinomycetes; Micromonosporales; Micromonosporaceae
Description: Bacterial large subunit ribosomal RNA
Rfam family: Bacterial large subunit ribosomal RNA
Source: Rfam by way of RNAcentral